CAGUCGCCGCGGGAAUACGUAGGUGGCAAGCGUUGCCCGGAAUUAUUGGGCGUAAAGGGCUCGCAGGCGGUUUCUUAAGUCUGAUGUGAAAGCCCCCGGCUCAACCGGGGAGGGUCAUUGGAAACUGGGAAACUUGAGUGCAGAAGAGGAGAGUGGAAUUCCACGUGUAGCGGUGAAAUGCGUAGAGAUGUGGAGGAACACCAGUGGCGAAGGCGACUCUCUGGUCUGUAACUGACGCUGAGGAGCGAAAGCGUGGGGAGCGAACAGGAUUAGAUACCCGCGUAGUCCCUGUCUCUUAUAC
This 301-nucleotide ribosomal RNA is filed under the name uncultured bacterium. RNAcentral describes it as "partial 16S ribosomal RNA". It matches the Rfam family "Bacterial small subunit ribosomal RNA", at positions 509 to 807 of the family's 1533-position model. The record is from RNAcentral.